This 253-nucleotide ribosomal RNA is filed under the name uncultured archaeon. RNAcentral describes it as "partial 16S ribosomal RNA". It matches the Rfam family "Archaeal small subunit ribosomal RNA", at positions 474 to 727 of the family's 1478-position model. The record is from RNAcentral.
UACCAGCUCUUCGAGUGGUAGGGAUGUUUAUUGGGCCUGAAGCAUCCGUAGCCGGCUGGACAAGUCCUCCGUUAAAUCCAGCGAUUCAAUCGUUGGAUUGCGAGGGAUACUGUUCGGCUAGGGGGUGAGAGAGGCCAACGGUAUUCCCGGGGUAGGGGUGAAAUCCUAUAAUCCCGGGAGGACCACCAGUGGCGAAGGCUGUUGGCUAGAACACGCCCGACGGUGAGGGAUGAAAGCUGGGGGAUCAAACAGG